Molecule: transfer RNA, 70 nt
Filed under: Chaetodontoplus septentrionalis (bluestriped angelfish)
Lineage: Eukaryota; Metazoa; Chordata; Actinopteri; Pomacanthidae
Description: tRNA-Tyr
Rfam family: tRNA
About the family: Transfer RNA (tRNA) molecules are approximately 80 nucleotides in length. Their secondary structure includes four short double-helical elements and three loops (D, anti-codon, and T loops). Further hydrogen bonds mediate the characteristic L-shaped molecular structure. tRNAs have two regions of fundamental functional importance: the anti-codon, which is responsible for specific mRNA codon recognition, and the 3' end, to which the tRNAs corresponding amino acid is attached (by aminoacyl-tRNA synthetases). tRNAs cope with the degeneracy of the genetic code in two manners: having more than one tRNA (with a specific anti-codon) for a particular amino acid; and 'wobble' base-pairing, i.e. permitting non-standard base-pairing at the 3rd anti-codon position.
Source: RNAcentral
GGUGAGAUGGCUGAGUUUUAAGCGGUGGAUUGUAGUCCCAUGAACAGAGGUUUGAGUCCUCUUCUCACCA